CGUUGGUUCCCUCGCAACGAUAAGCUGUAAACCCCGCCAGGCCCGGAAGGGAGCAACGGUAGCAGUGGAUUCGUGUGCCGGGGUGUAGCUGGCGGGG
Molecule: non-coding RNA, 97 nt
Organism: Bacterioplanes sanyensis
Lineage: Bacteria; Pseudomonadati; Pseudomonadota; Gammaproteobacteria; Oceanospirillales; Oceanospirillaceae
Rfam family: Bacterial small signal recognition particle RNA
About the family: The signal recognition particle (SRP) is a universally conserved ribonucleoprotein involved in the co-translational targeting of proteins to membranes. Archaeal SRP consists of a 7S RNA and homologues of the eukaryotic SRP19 and SRP54 proteins.
Source: Rfam